ACUGAACGCUGGCGGCAUGCUUUACACAUGCAAGUCGAACGGUAACAGGGUGCUUGCACCGCUGACGAGUGGCGAACGGGUGAGUAAUGCGUCGGAACGUGCCGAGUAGUGGGGGAUAACGCAGCGAAAGUUGUGCUAAUACCGCAUACGUACUGAGGUAGAAAGUGGGGGACCUUCGGGCCUCACGCUAUUCGAGCGGCCGACGUCUGAUUAGCUAGUAGGUGAGGUAAAGGCUCACCUAGGCGACGAUCAGUAGCGGGUCUGAGAGGAUGAUCCGCCACACUGGGACUGAGGCACGGCCCAGACUCCUACGGGAGGCAGCAGUGGGGAAUUUUGGACAAUGGGCGAAAGCCUGAUCCAGCCAUGCCGCGUGUCUGAAGAAGGCCUUCGGGUUGUAAAGGACUUUUGUCAGGGAGGAAAUCCCUAGUGCUAAUAACACUGGGGGAUGACAGUACCUGAAGAAUAAGCACCGGCUAACUACGUGCCAGCCGCCGCAGUAA
RNAcentral lists this ribosomal RNA (500 nucleotides) under uncultured bacterium. RNAcentral's name for it is "partial 16S ribosomal RNA". It matches the Rfam family "Bacterial small subunit ribosomal RNA", at positions 30 to 523 of the family's 1533-position model. The record is from RNAcentral.